GCCUGGGUGGCUCAGUCGGUUGAGCGUCUGACUUCGGCUCAGGUUAUGAUCUCGCGGUCCGUGAGUUCCAGCCCCGCGUCGGGCU
RNAcentral lists this transfer RNA (85 nucleotides) under Felis catus (domestic cat). It matches the Rfam family "tRNA". From Rfam's summary of the family: Transfer RNA (tRNA) molecules are approximately 80 nucleotides in length. Their secondary structure includes four short double-helical elements and three loops (D, anti-codon, and T loops). Further hydrogen bonds mediate the characteristic L-shaped molecular structure. tRNAs have two regions of fundamental functional importance: the anti-codon, which is responsible for specific mRNA codon recognition, and the 3' end, to which the tRNAs corresponding amino acid is attached (by aminoacyl-tRNA synthetases). tRNAs cope with the degeneracy of the genetic code in two manners: having more than one tRNA (with a specific anti-codon) for a particular amino acid; and 'wobble' base-pairing, i.e. permitting non-standard base-pairing at the 3rd anti-codon position. Lineage: Eukaryota; Metazoa; Chordata; Mammalia; Carnivora; Felidae. The record is from Rfam by way of RNAcentral.